AUUGAACGCUGGCGGCAGGCCUAACACAUGCAAGUCGAGCGAGUGGCGGACGGGUGAGUAAUGUAUGGGGAUCUGCCCGAUAGAGGGGGAUAACUACUGGCAACGGUGGCUAAUACCGCAUACUAUCGGAUGAACCCAUAUGGGAUUCGCUCGUGGGUGGGGUAAAGGCUCACCAAGGCGACGAUCUCUAGCUGGUCGGAGAGGAUGAUCAGCAACACUGGGACUGAGACACGGACCAGACUCCUACGGGAGGCAGCAGUGGGGAAUAUGGCACAAUGGGCGAAAGCCUGAUGCAGCCAUGCCGCGUGUAUGAAGAAGGCCUUAGGGUUGGAAAGUACUUUCAGCGGGGAGGCGUUACCCGCAGAAGAAGCACCGGCUAACUCCGUGCCAGCAGCCGCGGUAAUUC
RNAcentral lists this ribosomal RNA (406 nucleotides) under uncultured bacterium. RNAcentral describes it as "partial 16S ribosomal RNA". It matches the Rfam family "Bacterial small subunit ribosomal RNA", at positions 30 to 526 of the family's 1533-position model. The record is from RNAcentral.